RNAcentral lists this transfer RNA (72 nucleotides) under Camelus bactrianus (Bactrian camel). It matches the Rfam family "tRNA". Rfam says of the family: Transfer RNA (tRNA) molecules are approximately 80 nucleotides in length. RNAcentral also lists the same sequence under 1 other name. Lineage: Eukaryota; Metazoa; Chordata; Mammalia; Artiodactyla; Camelidae. The record is from Rfam by way of RNAcentral.
GAGUGUAUAGCUCAGUGGUAGAGCAUAUGCUUAGCAUGCAUAAGGUCCUGGGUUCAAUCCCCAGAACCUCCA